This 253-nucleotide ribosomal RNA is filed under the name uncultured bacterium. Its description in RNAcentral is "partial 16S ribosomal RNA". It matches the Rfam family "Bacterial small subunit ribosomal RNA", at positions 524 to 776 of the family's 1533-position model. The record is from RNAcentral.
UACGUAGGGUGCAAGCGUUAAUCGGAAUUACUGGGCGUAAAGCGUGCGCAGGCGGUUCGCUAAGACCGAUGUGAAAUCCCCGGGCUUAACCUGGGAACUGCAUUGGUGACUGGCGGGCUAGAGUAUGGCAGAGGGGGGUAGAAUUCCACGUGUAGCAGUGAAAUGCGUAGAGAUGUGGAGGAACACCGAUGGCGAAGGCAGCCCCCUGGGCUGAGAUUGACGCUCAGGCACGAAAGCGUGGGGAGCAAACAGG